Molecule: long non-coding RNA, 573 nt
Filed under: Equus asinus (donkey)
Lineage: Eukaryota; Metazoa; Chordata; Mammalia; Perissodactyla; Equidae
Description: lncRNA (ENSEASG00005035975.1)
Source: RNAcentral
AAAGGGCGGGAGCAGCCUCGGCUCCAAUCCUAGGAUCCACAGGGCCAAGUUCUGCGGUCGCGAGGCGCGGGAGAAAUUGGGGAUAGGCCGAAGAAAAAGCCAAUGAAAGGAAGAGGGGAGAAUUUAGAAAGAGAUUGCCACAGUCCAAGAAAGGAAGAAGGCUGAAGAAAUCAAGGGGAGUAGCUACAAAAGCAUUUUCCGAAGGAUAGGAGAAGCAAAGGAGGUGCCUCAGUGAACAAGAGGCAAAUGAAUUGACAAGGAGCGAGGUAUAUGUUUCUUCCAGGUGCUCCACUUCCAUCCUGGAACUUCCUCUACCCUCUGGAGAGCCUCUGCUUUACAACUGCUGUUCUAGCCUCACCCCAGUCAUCACAGUUGCUCUGGGCAACGAGAAUUAUCCAUUGGAUCCCAUCUGCCAUUCCAAGGGUGAUAACAUUUGUUUUCCAGUUCUGUAAAAUGUGAUCAUGGUGCUGACUCCAUAUUUCUCUUUUUUGAAUUUGGGAUUUAAGAAAUUUACAGCAGCAAGAAUUGACUAAUGACAAUUACUCCUGUUUCUUAAUAAAAGUCUAUUACUUA